Molecule: transfer RNA, 85 nt
Filed under: Corynebacterium occultum
Lineage: Bacteria; Bacillati; Actinomycetota; Actinomycetes; Mycobacteriales; Corynebacteriaceae
Description: Corynebacterium sp. 2039 tRNA-Tyr
Rfam family: tRNA
About the family: Transfer RNA (tRNA) molecules are approximately 80 nucleotides in length. Their secondary structure includes four short double-helical elements and three loops (D, anti-codon, and T loops). Further hydrogen bonds mediate the characteristic L-shaped molecular structure. tRNAs have two regions of fundamental functional importance: the anti-codon, which is responsible for specific mRNA codon recognition, and the 3' end, to which the tRNAs corresponding amino acid is attached (by aminoacyl-tRNA synthetases). tRNAs cope with the degeneracy of the genetic code in two manners: having more than one tRNA (with a specific anti-codon) for a particular amino acid; and 'wobble' base-pairing, i.e. permitting non-standard base-pairing at the 3rd anti-codon position.
Source: RNAcentral
GCCAGAUUGCCCGAGUGGCCAAAGGGAGCGGACUGUAAAUCCGCCGGCUCAGCCUUCGAAGGUUCAAAUCCUUCAUCUGGCACCA